GCCGCGAUAAUUUGAUCGUGCAAAGGUAGCAUAAUAAUUAGUUUCUUAAUUGGGAACUGGAAUGAAAGGUCGCACGAGAAAAAAACUGUCUCAAUUUAAUUUUAAUUAGAAUUUUAUUUUUAAGUAAGAAAGCUUAAAUAAUUUUAAAAGACGAGAAGACCCUAUAGAGUUUUAUAUUUAUUUAUAUAUUUUUUAGUUUUAGAAUUUUAUUUUAAAAUUUAUAUUUAAGUAUUUGGUUGGGGUGAUUGAAAAAUUUAAUAAACUUUUUUUAAAAAUUUAACAUUAAUAAAUGAUUAAUUGAUCCAUAAAUAAUGAUUAAAAGAUUAAAUUACCUUAGGAAAAAA
Molecule: ribosomal RNA, 344 nt
Filed under: Onthophagus rugicollis
Lineage: Eukaryota; Metazoa; Arthropoda; Insecta; Coleoptera; Scarabaeidae
Description: partial 16S ribosomal RNA
Source: RNAcentral